Long non-coding RNA from Patella vulgata (common limpet), 1498 nucleotides. RefSeq lists it as uncharacterized. Lineage: Eukaryota; Metazoa; Mollusca; Gastropoda; Patellidae. The transcript is spliced from 4 exons. The record is from RefSeq and is a predicted model, not a curated record.
UGUACAUCAUAGACUAGUUGAUAAUGUGAUGGCGAGGGCCUGAUAAAAUAUGAGAGACUGAAACGUUCAACAGAUUCUGAGAUUAAACUGCGGAAAGGGAAAUGGGCAGAGGAUAAUCACAGAAAUUACUUAGGCUUUGAUAUUUAUGGUAAAUGGACAGCGAUUAAAUAUAAACAAGCUUAAUUGAGUGUUGGAACCAUCACAAGAAAGAAGGUAGUUGUGAGGUAGUUCUACUUCUACAUGACACAAGCUCAUCAUGUUCAUCAAAUAUAAGUGUUGUGACCCUACUAAUUUCGACUGGAAAUUCAUCUUAUAAUCGUGUAUUUCUGGGGUUGAACAACUGUCACAGGAAGCAGAAUUGCUCUCAUUUUAUGAGUACAAUGUAUAAAGAAAAAGCAACAGACAAAUCUUUCAUUGAAAUAUCGGAAGAUGCCUCAAAUGAUCAAGCUGUGUAGUGAUGAUAAAGAUCCACUGUAUGUUUAUCGAUAAGACAAUGAUAUUGACAGCCAAGAUAGGGUCAACUUGAAAUGUCUUUAAAUGUACGUAUACAAGUAUAGAAAUAUGAUUGUUUUCGUAUCUCACUGGAGUUGUCCCUGGUCUCGAGUCAAUUUUAAAUGUGUCUUCACUAGCCUGGAUGCAAUGAAAUUUAAAUGUUUUUUCCAAUGAGACAAAUUAUGACUUUUAAUUAGGAUAUUUUAUUUUAGACAUCAUACUGGUGAAUUAGAAAACUGCCACCAACAUAUUUUAAAAAAGCUAAGUCUCUAACUCAAUAUCAUCCAAAGUCUUCGACAUUGAAAACACAAAUUAUUUGUCAAUUUAAAUCAACAUUGAUGUUGUGAUCUUACUGGGAAAAGAUGGGCUUCUGAUAUCCAAUAUUUAAGACAAAAUAAACAUUUUACCAUUGGUACACGAAUCGUGUACCAUAAUGCGUUUCAGCGCUAUUUGUAAUAAGGGACUCGAAAAACGAGGCUAGGCAUAGUCCACAAAUCAUGUCAAACAGUGACGUUAUAUUCUUAUCUGGAGAGCAUGCGCAAUAAAUACUAUGUAGACUAGAAUAACCAGAUGCUAGAGAUUGUCAUUUGAUUGAGACUUCUGGCGUAUUUCGCCGAACAUACCUGAUUUGAAAUUAAGAGUAAAAAGGGAAAUGAUUAAAUGUAAAUCAGUUUACAUAUACAUUCAUAUUACAUUAUUAUAUGCGCUGUGACCCAUUUGUGUCAACUUCUAGGUCCCAAGUAUUAGCGAUUUAGCUCAUUUAAUGUACGCUACAAAAAUAUUUUUAAAUACCAGCGACACAAGGACAUGAUAUGGAGUAGGGUUGAUUAUCUAUCCAUCGUGGCUUUUGUUUGGGUCCCCCUUUUUCCUCCCACUGCUACUGACAACUUGGUACCUUAUUUAGUCCAGAAAUGACCUAGUUUGUAUCAAGUGGGUGCUAACCCCCUGCCCACCUGCAUUCCUGGCAAAACAAAAUACAACUUGUUAUUCCAAAUAUUCUUUUUAA